CGGCGGACGGGUGAGUAACACGUGGAUAACCUACCUAUAAGACUGGGAUAACUUCGGGAAACCGGAGCUAAUACCGGAUAAUAUAUUGAACCGCAUGGUUCAAUAGUGAAAGACGGUUUUGCUGUCACUUAUAGAUGGAUCCGCGCCGCAUUAGCUAGUUGGUAAGGUAACGGCUUACCAGGCAACGAUGCGUAGCCGACCUGAGAGGGUGAUCGGCCACACUGGAACUGAGACACGGUCCAG
This 243-nucleotide ribosomal RNA is filed under the name uncultured Staphylococcus sp. RNAcentral describes it as "partial 16S ribosomal RNA". It matches the Rfam family "Bacterial small subunit ribosomal RNA", at positions 96 to 334 of the family's 1533-position model. Lineage: Bacteria; Bacillati; Bacillota; Bacilli; Caryophanales; Staphylococcaceae. The record is from RNAcentral.